RNAcentral lists this ribosomal RNA (166 nucleotides) under Epirrhoe alternata (common carpet). Its description in RNAcentral is "partial 16S ribosomal RNA". The record is from RNAcentral. Lineage: Eukaryota; Metazoa; Arthropoda; Insecta; Lepidoptera; Geometridae.
UGAGUUCAAACCGGUGUAAGCCAGGUUGGUUUCUAUCUUUUAGAAAAUUAAAUAUUUUAGUACGAAAGGAUCAAAUAUUUAAAUUAAAUUUAUAUAAUAAGAAUAUUAAUAAAUAAAAUUAUAUUUAUUUUUUUUUGCUUUAUAUAUAUAUAUAUAUAUAUAUAAA